UCCAUUAGAGAAGCCCCUGACUGCAGUGUGCAGUUCGGGGCAGGGAUCAAUGUGGGCAGGGUCAAACGCGUUUAACCGAACCCUUCCCGGCUCCUUCAAGGUCAUCCAAGUUGAGACGAUACUGAAAACAAAAUGCACAGCGAACUGAGAGCUGUGAACUGGAAAAAGGGACACCCUAGAGGCAGCAAGGUGGAGGGAGUAAGAUCCCUAGAAAGCAGAAAACUGCAAGACAACCAAAGGACCCUAGAGACCUCUGCAUGCUGUGACAUGGGCCUGGAUGGUGAAACAUCUGCUUCCAGCUGCCUGACUGAAUAUUGGGGCCUUCAGUUGUACCUUACAUCACAGCAAGAGUCUCCUUAUCUCUGUCUCAUAGUCAUUUAAACAUGUAUUAUGUAUCCACUCAUUCAUGAAAACUGCUACAGACACAAGAACUGCACCUGAGUGAUGAUAGCCAGCUAGCCGAGCCAUUGCGUGAGAGAUCAAAUCAAACUUUGUCACAUGCACCGAAUACAACAAGUGUGGACUUUACCUUGAAAUGCUUACUUACAAGCCCUUAACCAACAGUGCAGAUCAAUAAGAAAAUAUUUAC
Long non-coding RNA from Oncorhynchus mykiss (rainbow trout), 589 nucleotides. RefSeq lists it as uncharacterized. Lineage: Eukaryota; Metazoa; Chordata; Actinopteri; Salmoniformes; Salmonidae. The record is from RefSeq and is a predicted model, not a curated record.